UGACCUGCCCGGUGACUUAUAAAGUUAAACGGCUGCAGUACUCUGACUGUGCAAAGGUAGCAUAAUCAUUAGCCUGUUAAUUCCAGGCUGGAAUCAACGGUUGGACGAUAGGAAUACUGUCUUUUUUUUCUUAAUUCGAAUUUUUUGUUGAAGUGAAGAAACUUUAAUAUUAUAGUGGGACGAGAAGACCCUAUAGAGCUUUAAGCUUCUUGUUAAGUUUUAUUUGGUGGGAAGUUUUUAGUUGGGGCAACUGUUUUUAAAAUUAAGCAUGAAAUGAAAAUUGGUAAUUCGAGUUUGUUUUCCGGUGACCCAAAAGUUUUUGGUAAUUGGAAAAAGUUACCUUAGGGAUAACAGCGUAAUUUCUUUUGAGAGAACGUAUUGACAAAGAAGUUUGCGACCUCGAUGUUGGAUUAAGAUUUCCUGGAAGUGCAGCAGCUUCCAAGGGUUGGUUUGUUCAACCAUAAAAGUCUUACGUGAUCUGAGUUCAAAACCGGCA
RNAcentral lists this ribosomal RNA (496 nucleotides) under Ophiarachnella gorgonia. RNAcentral's name for it is "partial 16S ribosomal RNA". It matches the Rfam family "Bacterial large subunit ribosomal RNA", at positions 1854 to 2621 of the family's 2925-position model. Lineage: Eukaryota; Metazoa; Echinodermata; Ophiuroidea; Amphilepidida; Ophiodermatidae. The record is from RNAcentral.